Non-coding RNA from Ictidomys tridecemlineatus (thirteen-lined ground squirrel), 336 nucleotides. The record is from RefSeq and is a predicted model, not a curated record. Lineage: Eukaryota; Metazoa; Chordata; Mammalia; Rodentia; Sciuridae.
CUCUCCCUCUCCUGCUAGUCCUGAGUAAGCCUUGCUGCCCCACUGGGUGGCUCGAGGCAACAGCUAGAGGGGGAGCCGUCUCGGACCUGGUCAAAGAAAAAGGGCUUUAUAAUCUCAAGACAUUGGAUGAAGCAUUUUGAAAGAAAUAAGGAUGAAAACAAAAUCCUGGAGCUAUGAUCUGGCCAAGGUCUCUUUCUCCCCUUCCCAGCUCGAUAAGAUGUGACCACUUACUCCAACAUGAGCUCUGCACCAUUGCCAUUGGUCAAAUAUAUGGGGUUUUCCAACUUUGAAUUAAGAACCUCUAAGGCUAUAAGCUAAAUAAACCUUUUCUCCUUA